AUGUGUUAUAUAGUGUAUAUGGUGGAAUUAGCAAGGAGAUGCCCAACACAUAUUUUUCCUGCAGAGAAACCCCAGCCACUGAGCGCUGCAGAGACGGUGAUGGGUGUCCUUGGAUGGGUGAUUGCACUGGGCAUCAUCCUCAGUAUAGCUGGCACAAUAUAUUUGAUCAACAAACAGCAGCGGCACAAACAUGCAGGGUCAGACAAUGACUCAGAUAGUUCUUCUUCUGCCCACAAAAAGCCUUCCUCGUCUAAAAAGAAGGCAGCUGAUGACUUCCAGAGCCCCGGGAGGUUCUACGAUGAGCUCCCAAACACGGCAGACUACGUGAGUUACCGUUUGGCGUGUAACAAAGAGGAUUAUCUGGAGCAACACUCUCCUCCCAUUCAACCUCCUCUGACCUUCCUGCCCCAAAGCCCCUACACUCAGCACGGUAACCAGAAAGCCAUAUUCACAUACCCCACACCCCUCGGGCCCGUCUCCUCAUACACCUUCCCCAAAGAGCAGUAUGUAUAAAUACAUUCGCCACCUCUUUCUCUUUCUGUCUGUCUUCAGUUGCUCUGGUCAUUGUGCACUUUUUUACAGUGUUCUUUCUGAAUAGCUCUUUUUCAAGAAUAUUAUUCUCUAAGCAUAAUUGGAUUUGCAUGCAUAUUUUCAAAUUUUCAUUUUUGAUUAAUAUUGCUUAGAAUUAAUCUGCAAAUAAUUACAGAUUAAAGCAGAGUAGAUUUAAGAUGAAUAAAUCUGAGUCUUAAAGUAGGUCGGUGGUCCGUAAACCCCAUUUAUAACAGGCAGGCCCAUAUUGUUUAUUGUAUUCUGUACAGUUAUGCAUCACUGCAUUGUUUUGGGAUGUCAUUUGGGAUUUCCACUGUAUUCGUUUAAUUUCUAAACAGGUAUUUUUGCUGCUUUCGUAAUAGUAAACUUGCGACAAUAACAUGGUAGCAGUAAAAAAAGAAAUUCUUGAAAAAUCUAUUAAAAUAAACAUUAUCCCCCGGUUUCACAGACAAAGCUUAAGCCUAGUCCUAGACUAAAAUGUAAAUCUAAGCUGUUUCAACUGAAAGAAACUUGCACUGACUGAUCUUAAAACAUGUCAGUGCCUUUGUUUUGUCUUAAGAUGAACACCAGUAAUGCUUUUUUCUAAGGCAUGUUUAUAAAAAUUACUUAAAUGUCCUAAUUGAACAAUGGCUUAAUCCUGGUUUAGGCUAAACCCUGUCUAUAAGCCCCUAUAUGUAUGAUUUUUAAACAAUAUUACUACUGUAUUCAAUUGCGUUGAAUUAAAAUGGGUCUUUUUGCUGCCUUUGUAAUUGUGAAACUUGCAACAAUUACAUAAUCUGACCAAUACAUCACAAAAUAAUCAUUAUUCAUAUUUAUUUGCAUCUUUAAACUGUAUAUUCUGUAUAUAUGUAUGUAUGUGAGAGGGUUUUUUUACAUGCACACUAGCAAAUUUCAGUUAGUAUUUAUGUAGAACUGUGAAUCUCUUUCGUCAUUUGUCCUUUAUUAUUGUUUACAUUAUGCUUUGUGGCAUUCAUGCACAAUGGUACAAAGUUCUUCCAUGCACUGCAACUAAUAACUGCAUAAGGAGUAUUUAUAUAGUAUAUAGAGCACGUGGAAGUGUGCAAAAAUGUGAUGGAUUACAUUAUAUGUAUUUGUGUGUUGUUACAGUGACCAUAUGGUAUUAAAUAAGCUGUUAAUUAUGUAAUAUUUGAAUAUUUUAAC
Sinocyclocheilus grahami is the source of this 1710-nucleotide long non-coding RNA. NCBI's taxonomy places the organism in Eukaryota, Metazoa, Chordata, Actinopteri, Cypriniformes, Cyprinidae. The record is from Ensembl.